CGGUGUUGUACUGGGCGUAAAGCGUGCGUAGGCGGCUUAUUUAAGUUAAUGUGAAUUUCCCCGAGCUUAACUUGGGGGGUGCAUUCUAAUACUGGGAAGCUAGAGUAUGGGAGAGGAGGUUGGUAGAAUUUACAGGUGUAGUUUGAAUAUGCGUAGAGAUCUGGAGGAAUACCGAUGGUCGAAGCAGCCAUCUGUUGGCCUAAUACUGACGCUGAGGUACGAAAAGCAUGGGGAGGUCAAACAGGAUUAGAUACCCUGGUAGUCCAUGCCGUAAACGAUAUGUCUACUAGCCUUGGGGCGCUUUGAGGCUGUUAGUGGCGCUUCGCUAACGCGAUAAUAGACCUGCCCUGGUGGAAGUACGGUCGUGAGACAAAAUGAAAUCCCCAAGUAAUAACUUUGGUGGGAAUUGCAAUUCGAUACUGGGAAGCUAGAGUAUGGGAGGGAGGAUGGUAGUUAAUUCCAGGUGUAGCGGUGAAAUGCGUAGAGGGAUCUGGAGGAUAAUACCGAUGGCGAAGGCAGAAUCUGGCCAUGCUGAGGUACGUUAAAGCA
This 549-nucleotide ribosomal RNA is filed under the name uncultured Acinetobacter sp. Its description in RNAcentral is "partial 16S ribosomal RNA". The stretch from base 9 to 347 matches the Rfam family "Bacterial small subunit ribosomal RNA", at positions 552 to 873 of the family's 1533-position model. Lineage: Bacteria; Pseudomonadati; Pseudomonadota; Gammaproteobacteria; Moraxellales; Moraxellaceae. The record is from RNAcentral.